This is a long non-coding RNA of Portunus trituberculatus (swimming crab), 388 nucleotides long. RefSeq lists it as uncharacterized. Lineage: Eukaryota; Metazoa; Arthropoda; Malacostraca; Decapoda; Portunidae. The transcript has 2 exons. The record is from RefSeq and is a predicted model, not a curated record.
UUAUAUUUUGAGGUGUUGCAGGGUGUUUUGGGUUAGUUUUGAGUGAUUUAAGUUGUUUGUGUGUGUGUCAGUUGUGUAUGGUGUGUUUUGUGGUGUGGUGUCAGUAUUGGUGCAUACUGUGUGCUUGUAGUGAAUCGUAAGUGCGUGGUACUAUGAGGUAUUUCAUGUUGGCAGUAUCCAAGGGGAUUUGACAAAGCUAGGUUCAAUGAUUUCAUUAUAACAUUAUAACAGGUUCAGCAGUGUUCCAAAUUGAUAUGGACAGUAAACUGAACAAUUGUUUUGGUAUUUUGUAAGCACGAUCGACAAUUUGGAAGUGAUCAUUUAGUGGGUAGGUUUGUGUGUAGGUGGGGUUAAUUCACAGUACAUAAGCCGCAGAACAGUAAGAUGA